AGAGUUUGAUCCUGGCUCAGAGCGAACGCUGGCGGCAGGCCUAACACAUGCAAGUCGAGCGCCCAGCAAUGGGAGCGGCAGACGGGUGAGUAACACGUGGGGAUCUACCCAAUGGUACGGAAUAACCCAGGGAAACUUGGAUUAAUACCGUAUGUGCCCUUCGGGGGAAAGAUUUAUCGCCAUUGGAUGAACCCGCGUCGGAUUAGCUAGUUGGUGAGGUAAAGGCUCACCAAGGCGACGAUCCGUAGCUGGUCUGAGAGGAUGAUCAGCCACACUGGGACUGAGACACGGCCCAGACUCCUACGGGAGGCAGCAGUGGGGAAUAUUGGACAAUGGGCGCAAGCCUGAUCCAGCCAUGCCGCGUGAGUGAUGAAGGCCUUAGGGUUGUAAAGCUCUUUCGCCGGUGAAGAUAAUGACGGUAACCGGAGAAGAAGCCCCGGCUAACUUCGUG
This 451-nucleotide ribosomal RNA is filed under the name uncultured Xanthobacter sp. RNAcentral describes it as "bacterial SSU rRNA". It matches the Rfam family "Bacterial small subunit ribosomal RNA", at positions 8 to 507 of the family's 1533-position model. Lineage: Bacteria; Pseudomonadati; Pseudomonadota; Alphaproteobacteria; Hyphomicrobiales; Xanthobacteraceae. The record is from RNAcentral.